AGUGAACGCUGGCGGUAGGCCUAACACAUGCAAGUCGAACGGCAGCACAGGAGAGCUUGCUCUCUAGGUGGCGAGUGGCGGACGGGUGAGGAAUACAUCGGAAUCUGCCCAGUCGUGGGGGAUAACGUAGGGAAACUUACGCUAAUACCGCAUACGACCUUCGGGUGAAAGAGGGGGAUCGCAAGACCUCUCGCGAUUGGAUGAGCCGAUGUCGGAUUAGCUAGUUAGCGGGGUAAUGGCCCACCAAGGCGACGAUCCAUAGCUGGUCUGAGAGGAUGAUCAGCCACACUGGAACUGAGACACGGUCCAGACUCCUACGGGAGGCAGCAGUGGGGAAUAUUGGACAAUGGGCGCAAGCCUGAUCCAGCCAUACCGCGUGGGUGAAGAAGGCCUUCGGGUUGUAAAGCCCUUUUGUUGGGAAAGAAAUCUUUCAGGCUAAUACCCUGGGAGGAUGACGGUACCCAAAGAAUAAGCACCGGCCAACUUCGUG
This 490-nucleotide ribosomal RNA is filed under the name uncultured bacterium. RNAcentral's name for it is "partial 16S ribosomal RNA". It matches the Rfam family "Bacterial small subunit ribosomal RNA", at positions 29 to 507 of the family's 1533-position model. The record is from RNAcentral.